Molecule: ribosomal RNA, 1055 nt
Filed under: uncultured Cryobacterium sp.
Lineage: Bacteria; Bacillati; Actinomycetota; Actinomycetes; Micrococcales; Microbacteriaceae
Description: bacterial SSU rRNA
Rfam family: Bacterial small subunit ribosomal RNA
Source: RNAcentral
CCUACGGGAGGCAGCAGUGGGGAAUAUUGCACAAUGGGCGCAAGCCUGAUGCAGCAACGCCGCGUGAGGGACGAAGGCCUUCGGGUUGUAAACCUCUUUUAGUAGGGAAGAAGCGACUGGGUUUUCCUGGGAGUGACGGUACCUGCAGAAAAAGCACCGGCUAACUACGUGCCAGCAGCCGCGGUAAUACGUAGGGUGCAAGCGUUGUCCGGAAUUAUUGGGCGUAAAGAGCUCGUAGGCGGUUUGUCGCGUCUGCUGUGAAAACCCGAGGCUCAACCUCGGGCCUGCAGUGGGUACGGGCAGACUAGAGUGCGGUAGGGGAGAUUGGAAUUCCUGGUGUAGCGGUGGAAUGCGCAGAUAUCAGGAGGAACACCAAUGGCGAAGGCAGAUCUCUGGGCCGUAACUGACGCUGAGGAGCGAAAGCAUGGGGAGCGAACAGGAUUAGAUACCCUGGUAGUCCAUGCCGUAAACGUUGGGAACUAGAUGUGGGGACCAUUCCACGGUCUCCGUGUCGCAGCUAACGCAUUAAGUUCCCCGCCUGGGGAGUACGGCCGCAAGGCUAAAACUCAAAGGAAUUGACGGGGGCCCGCACAAGCGGCGGAGCAUGCGGAUUAAUUCGAUGCAACGCGAAGAACCUUACCAAGGCUUGACAUAUACCGGAAACGGCUGGAAACAGUCGCCCCGCAAGGUCGGUAUACAGGUGGUGCAUGGUUGUCGUCAGCUCGUGUCGUGAGAUGUUGGGUUAAGUCCCGCAACGAGCGCAACCCUCGUCCUAUGUUGCCAGCACGUAAUGGUGGGAACUCAUGGGAUACUGCCGGGGUCAACUCGGAGGAAGGUGGGGAUGACGUCAAAUCAUCAUGCCCCUUAUGUCUUGGGCUUCACGCAUGCUACAAUGGCCGGUACAAAGGGCUGCGAUACCGCAAGGUGGAGCGAAUCCCAAAAAGCCGGUCUCAGUUCGGAUUGAGGUCUGCAACUCGACCUCAUGAAGUCGGAGUCGCUAGUAAUCGCAGAUCAGCAACGUUGCGGUGAAUACGUUCCCGGGCCUUGUUCACACA